UGUUUUUAAGAGAGACAAAAGAAACACGUUCUACAAGGAACGUUUUCAUCGAUGUGGUAUUGAAAACAUGUCCUGUAAGACGUGUUUUCACUUUGUUAAAAUUAUUUUCAUUCUGUCAUAAGUUUUAGUAUCGAUGAUUAUACAGUCUAUAUGGGAAUUUUUUUUUAACAAAGUGAAAAUGAGUCUUACAAGGCAUGUUUUCACUGCCAUAUUAGUGAAAACGUGCCUUGUAGGACGCGUUUUUUGUUUCUCUCUCUAAAAAUAA
Molecule: microRNA precursor, 265 nt
Filed under: Gossypium raimondii (Peruvian cotton)
Lineage: Eukaryota; Viridiplantae; Streptophyta; Magnoliopsida; Malvales; Malvaceae
Description: miR8687 stem-loop (gra-MIR8687)
Source: miRBase by way of RNAcentral